GCACCGGCUAACUACGUGCCAGCAGCCGCGGUAAUACGUAGGGUGCGAGCGUUGUCCGGAAUUACUGGGCGUAAAGGGCUCGUAGGUGGUUUGUCGCGUCGUCUGUGAAAUUCCGGGGCUUAACUCCGGGCGUGCAGGCGAUACGGGCAUAACUUGAGUACUGUAGGGGUAACUGGAAUUCCUGGUGUAGCGGUGAAAUGCGCAGAUAUCAGGAGGAACACCGAUGGCGAAGGCAGGUUACUGGGCAGUUACUGACGCUGAGGAGCGAAAGCAUGGGUAGCGAACAGGAUUAGAUACCCUGGUAGUCCAUGCCGUAAACGGUGGGCGCUAGGUGUGAGGGUCUUUUCACGACUUUCGUGCCGUAGCUAACGCAUUAAGCGCCCCGCCUGGGGAGUACGGCCGCA
This 404-nucleotide ribosomal RNA is filed under the name uncultured bacterium. RNAcentral describes it as "bacterial SSU rRNA". It matches the Rfam family "Bacterial small subunit ribosomal RNA", at positions 490 to 890 of the family's 1533-position model. The record is from RNAcentral.